RNAcentral lists this ribosomal RNA (413 nucleotides) under Kaloula pulchra (Malaysian narrowmouth toad). Its description in RNAcentral is "partial 16S ribosomal RNA". It matches the Rfam family "Bacterial large subunit ribosomal RNA", at positions 1834 to 2459 of the family's 2925-position model. The record is from RNAcentral. Lineage: Eukaryota; Metazoa; Chordata; Amphibia; Anura; Microhylidae.
CUUGACAAAAUAUAAGAGGUCCAGCCUGCCCAGUGACAAAGUUAAACGGCCGCGGUACCCUAACCGUGCGAAGGUAGCGCAAUCACUUGUUCUUUAAAUGAGGACUAGUAUGAAUGGCAUCACGAGGGUUGUACUGUCUCCCCUUUUUAAUCAAUGAAACUGACCCCCCCGUGAAGAGGCGGGGAUAUAACUAUAAGACGAGAAGACCCCAUGGAGCUUUAAACUCAGUAUCAACCGCCUAACAACACAUCAUUACAAUUUGGCAGAUCUGAUUACUAGUUUUCGGUUGGGGUGACCGCGGAGUAAAACAAAACCUCCACGAUGAAAGGACCUAUGCUCCUAAUCAUAGAGCCACAGCUCAAAGAAUCAAAAAACUGACAUAAAUUGAUCCAAUUAAUUUGAUCAACGAACCA